GUAGAAAACAACUCUAAGGGGCUAAAUUGUUUUAUUGGUGAGGUACACUUCUCUACUUGAAACUUAAUUAUUAUUCAUAAAUUGAGUAGUUUUGUAAGGUAUUUUAGAUCUAAGAAAUUGCUUCAUAAUUCACCUUACCCAUUCAACAUUAGCCUUACUCAGCUUCAUUCCUUUAAUUUCAUCUCUACUUAUAUGCCAUGCAUAUAUCCAAUCCAACCAACCAUAACUUUGACAUAAACAUUAAAAUUGGAUUUAAUAUUCUUAUUG
Molecule: unclassified non-coding RNA, 267 nt
Filed under: Hevea brasiliensis (rubber tree)
Lineage: Eukaryota; Viridiplantae; Streptophyta; Magnoliopsida; Malpighiales; Euphorbiaceae
Source: RNAcentral